RNAcentral lists this long non-coding RNA (17243 nucleotides) under Gossypium raimondii (Peruvian cotton). Its description in RNAcentral is "long non-coding RNA (GRAI_LNC008779)". Lineage: Eukaryota; Viridiplantae; Streptophyta; Magnoliopsida; Malvales; Malvaceae. The record is from RNAcentral.
GAAAAUGACCGAUGAAUGAAACCCUAACAGUUUUAUUGUUUCCACCAUUAUUGAUAGGUUCAGGCUGGAGUCUAAUGAAGAGAUCUUUGGGCAGUUUAGGGGCAACUUGUUGCCAACGAUAAGCCAGCUCCGUUGCGCCUUGUUCCAAGGUCCUUUGCACGGUGAAAACAGUGACCCUAGGUGGGACACGAACCAACUUGAUCCGCCAUGAAAGGAUGAUACCAAAGCUAGUUGUUCCACCGCCUCUUAUUGCCCAAAACACAUCUUCCCCCAUCGAUUUACGGUUAAGGAUUCGACCAUUAGCGUCGAUCAACUGUGCAUCAAUGACAUUAUCAAUGGAAAGCCCGUAUUUUCUAAUUAAAAACCCAUACCCACCUCCACUGAAGUGUCCACCAAUGCCUAGAGUGGUACAAACACCAGAUGGGAACCCAUGGACAUUGCUCUUCUCGGCUAUCCUAUAAUAAAGUUCGCCGGUAGUAGCUCCUGCUUGAACCCACGCCGUCUCAGUCGACAUGUCGAUGUCUAUAGAGUUUAGGUUGAACAUAUCGAGAAUAACAAACGGGACAUCAGAAGUGUACGAAAGUCCCUCGUAAUCAUGACCACCACUUCGAAUCCUUAGUUGAAAAUCAUGUCGCUUGGCGCAAAUGACAGCGGCUUGUGCAUGAGAUGGAUGUAGAGCAGUUAUAAUGGCCACCGGUCUCGAAGUUGCUGAUAAAAAAGUUCGAAGAUUAUUAGCACGUAAUUGGUAUAUAUAUUGAAAAGAUGAAUUGUUGGGGGUUAAAAUUGCAUCGGUAAUCGGAAUAGAAGAGUCAGAUUGUUUAGGCAAACAUUGAAAAAAAUCAUCGAAAUCAUCUGAAUCGGAAGGUGUUACAGAUGAAAUCGAUAACAAAAUGAAAAUUGAAAUGAUGGGAAAGAUGGAGCUUGAAAUUUUCAUUUUUGUUUUCCAGAUGGUAUUGGUGCAUUGCUAUAAUGAUUUAAUGGGGGCAUAUAUAUAUAUAUAUAGAGGGGAGGGACCUAUUUGGAUUAACUCAAAGCCAAUCUCUAAUUCUUAAAGUCUUUCUAAGACUUUUGAGAAAGAGAAGUUCAUUUUUGUUUUUAAUUUUGUUUCUAAAAUAUUUAGUAAAAUCUUUAUUCGACUUUCUUUUUGCCAGAGUGUACACACACACAUAUUUAUUAUUUCUUUGUUUGACGAACCAACUUUGUGUUCGAACCUUCCAAUAUUUAGUUUUUAUAUAUUAAUUUGAUUGAUUUGUAUUUUUUGUAUUGAUUAAUUUUAAUUUUUAUAAUUUUUAAAAUUUAAAAUUUUACUCUUAACUCAGCUAGUAGCAAUUAAACUCCUUUGGUUAAAUUCAAUUAUUAGUCUUAUACUAUGCAUAUAGUUGUAGAUUUAGUUCAUAUUCUUCAAUUGGAUCAUUUUAAGCUGCCGUGCUUUUCUUAAAAUUUCAAUUUUAACACAAUGACUGUUAUUAAUCCAUUAACUAGAUUUUUAGUGAAUAAUAUGUGUAAAUAACAAGCUGGUAUUACAUUAUACAUAUAAUAAUAUGUUUGUUGUAUCAAGUUUUAGAAAUAACAAUAUUUAAUGAAUUUAGCAAUUAUCUUUUAGUGAGGACUGGAAUUUUAAAAUUUAAAAGUAAAAAGAUAAAAAUGACCAAAUUAAAUUACAUGAAUUAAAUCUAUAACUUUCUUAAAGUAUAUGAACUAAUAGCAGAAUUUAACCUUUAUAAUUAUACUUUCGGAUUUAUACGAUGAGUUAAUUUCACUAAACAUCUUUAAACUAUGAUUCUUAUUUUAAAUUGGCCCUUAAAUUUUAAAUCACUCUAAUUACAUCAUUAAACUAUCGAGGUUAUAUCAAUUAAGUCCUUUCGAUACUAAAAUUUUACAUUUGGGUCAAAUAAAAAAUUAAUAUAUAAGGAAAAAAAGUGGAAUAGAGAUUUUAUUCAAUUUAAAAACAAUAUAAAAAACAAAAAUGAAAUUUCUUUAUUGAAAAGUCUUAGAAACAUGUUCAAGACUUUGACAAUUUGAGAUAAACUUUGAGCUGAUCCAAACAGGUCCCUCCCCUCUAUAUAUAACCCAUUAAAUCAUAAUAACAAUGCAACAAAAAUGAAAAUUUCAAGCUCCAUCUUUUCCCUUAUUUCAAUCUUCAUUUUAUUAUUGAUUUCAUCAGCCACAUCUUCCGAUUUUGAUGAUUUUAUUCGAUGCCUUCCUCAACAGUCUAAUUCUUCUCUUCCGAUCACCGAUGCAAUAUUAACUCCCAACAAUUCGACUUUCCAAUCUAUAUACCAAUUACGUGCUAAUAAUCUUCGAACUUUUUUAUCAGCAACUUCGAGACCGGUGGCCAUUAUAACCGCUCUACAUCCAUCCCAUGCACAAGCCGCUGUCAUUUGCGCCAAGAGACAUGAUUUUCAACUAAGGAUUCGAAGUGGUGGUCAUGAUUUUGAGGGACUUUCGUACACUUCUGAUGUCCCGUUUGUUAUCCUCGAUAUGUUCAAUCUAAACUCUAUAGAUAUCGACAUGUCGACUGAGACGGCGUGGGUUCAAGCAGGAGCUACUACCGGCGAACUUUAUUAUAGGAUAGCCGAGAAGAGCAAUGUCCAUGGGUUCCCAUCUGGUGUUUGUACCACUCUAGGCAUCGGUGGACACUUCAGUGGAGGUGGGUAUGGAUUUUUAAUGAGAAAAUACGGGGUUUCCAUUGAUAAUGUCAUUGAUGCACAGUUGAUUGACGCUAAUGGUCGAAUCCUUAACCGUAAAUCAAUGGGGGAAGAUGUGUUUUGGGCUAUAAGAGGCGGUGGAACUACAAGCUUUGGUAUCAUCCUUUCAUGGCGGAUCAAGCUGGUUCGUGUUCCACCUAGGGUCACUGUUUUCACCGUGCAAAGGACCUUGGAACAAGGCGCAACGGAGCUGGCUUAUCGUUGGCAACAAGUUGCCCCUAAGCUACCCAAAGAUCUCUUCAUUAGACUCCAGCCUGAACCUAUCAACAAUGGUGGAAACAAUAAAACCGUUAGGGUUUCAUUCAUCGGCCAUUUUCUGGGACAAGCUGAUGGACUUUUACGAUUAAUGAACGUAAGCUUCCCCGAAUUGGGAUUGACCCGAAAUGACUGUUUAGAGAUGAGUUGGGUGGAAUCGACCUUAUACUGGGCGAAUUUCCCCAAUGGAACCUCCAUUGAUGUGUUGCUCGAUAGAGUUCAAGAAAACAGAGUGUUCUCCAAGAGCAAGUCCGAUUACUACAAAGCAUUGAUCCCCAAACAAGGGUUAGAGACCUUAUGGCAAGGAUUAAUGGACAUUGAAGACAUCUUCGUCCAGAUGAACCCUUACGGUGGGCGAAUGGAAGAGAUUUCGGACUCGGAGACCGCGUUUGCACACCGAGCCGGAAACCUCUUCAUGGUGCUGUACGGGAUCCAAUGGUCCGAGUCUGACGGAGGGAUCAACGCCACGGAACGUUACGUUGAGAUGUCGAGGAGGUUGUACGACGCAAUGGCCCCGUACGCAUCGAGCAACCCAAGAGAGGCGUUUCUCAACUACCGAGACCUCGACAUUGGCAGCAACGAAAGCGACGAGACGGAUUUCGAGGAUGCUCAAGAAUACGGCGCUAAAUAUUUCCGAAACAAUUUCAUAAGACUAGCAAAUGCAAAAGCCACGAUCGAUCCCGAGAAUUUCUUCAAGAACGAGCAAAGCAUACCACCAUUGCCUCAUUGAAAUCCUGGCCUUCUACAAUCAUCUAUAAAUGAAAACCAAAUAUCUUAUGAAUUUGCUUGUAAUUUUAAGCAUAUCAUGUUCUUGCAUUUAUAAUAAAUAAGAAUAUCUUUAUGUGAUUUUGUUUGUGUAAUUCACAAUAAAAUAACUUGUAUUGUAUAAGAAUUAAUUGUAUCUAUGAUCCUCAUUUUUAACUAGUAUUCAAAUUUUAAAAUAUUUUAAUUAUAUCCUCAAAUUAUUGAAUAGGAGCGGCACCAAGGGGUUGGUACUUGGUAGGGGCCCGUUAUAUUUUAUUAAAUUAUAAAUUAAUAAAUAAUCAAAUUGUACUUUGACCCCAAAAUGAUAAAAUUUUAAUUUAUUUCUUUAAAAAAUAUAAAUAUAUAAGUUAAUACAAUGGUUAAAAUGCAUUUUAGCUCUCAUAAAAAUACAUAACUAGUCCCCCCCCCCAAAAAAAAGACAUAAUAUCUGGCUUCACCCCUUCUAUUAAGGUUAUAUCAAUCAAGUUCUUUUGUUAUUAAAAUUGUUAAUUUAACCACUAAAUGAUACAUUAAAUCUUAUGUAGCUAACUUUAAAAUGAAAAUUUUUAAUAAAUAAUUAAUUCAAUAAUUAAUUUAAUUCAUGUGACAACUAAAUAUAUACAAUACCAACUGUGUUCGUAUUCUGUUUGCUUCAACCAUUAGGUGUGGCCCUGUAGGCUCUUGUAACGUUAGUAGUAAUACAAUAACAUUUCUAAUGUUACAAGCAAUGAGUGACAUUUAGCAAUGCACCAUUGCUGCUCAAGUUACAAGAAGUCGUGAAUCGAUAUAACCUUUCUGUGAUAAAAUUUUCAUGUAUUAUAUCAUUUUGUCCUUUAUAUCUAAAUUGGACACAAGUCAUGAAAUAGUCACACUUGUAUAGUCUAAUAUCAUAUUUCUUGAUAUUUUGAAUAGACUACAAUAAACAAAUAAGUGUGAUAUUUUAUAUAAGCUUAUUUGAGUAUGACCAUCCAUUUCUAGUCUCACUCCAUCAAGUGACCAUUAUGUAGGAGGGACAAAUCCUAUCUUGAUCAAUCAUAUCCCAUUACAUAGACUUUGGUAUAUCCAACACCAGUCUUUAUAGUACAACCUGUUAUGGUAGACGUUUGAGUUUAUUGUUAGAUUUGUGUGGCCCAAAUUCCUGUUAAAAAUAAAAGUACAAGUGGCAAGAUAGGGGGAUCUACGAGAGUGAAGGCCGAGUUGUUACGAUACAAGCUGCACAAAUGAAUAAGGUGUUUUAACCUUACUGCAUUACUUCUAUUUGACUUUGAUUAGAAUAAGGUUUUAAACCUAUCAAUAGAUGUAAUUUUCUCUCAUUUUGUAUCAUUUGAAUUCGACAUAGUGAAUUUUCUUCUCCUCCGCCCGUGAUUUUUAUUCCGAAAGGGUUUCCACGUAAAAUUCUGUGUGUUCUAUUUUUUCUUUCUUUUCUUUGCGAUACAUUGCCAUUAUCGACGUUCAAUUUAUCACAUGUAUCAAAAUAUACGACUCACGAUGUUGGGACAAUGAUGAUCUCAAGUUUGAGGAUCGUAUACAUAAUUAUCACUAUGAAUAUUGUUGUGAUUAUUACAUAAUAAUCCAAGAAAUAUACUCAUAGCAGGUCAGUCUAGUAUAUUGUUCUCUAACACAUACUCAUAUAUUGAUUUUGACAACCUUAUGUCAGAUGACACUUUAUCAUCAAUCAACUAUUAACUUGAAAGAAAUAAAUUUGAAACUUUUAUUUAUAAAAGUUGAAAUCUAAAGUUGAUAAAAAGAAAUAGAAUGUUGAAUAAAAGUCAUAGAUGUAUAUAAACAUGAUAAGAUAUUUAAUUUAAAAGUUAGGCAGAGUUCUUGAUAAGGGGUAGCUAGGGGCUGAAAUGGAAAUUUUUUCAUUUAGGUUAUUUAAAAUUUUUAAAAUUUAAAAUUAGUAAAGGUAGAAUUGUACUUUGACCCCUAAAAAUGCUAAAAAUUUGAUUUAAUAUUUUAAAACUUAUAAAGAUAUAAGCUAUUAAAAUAGUGAAGUUAUAUUUUUACUAUCGUUAAAAUUUUUCAUUUAAUUUUGACCCCCUUAAGAAAAUUUUCUAGCUUUGCCCUUGAUUCUUGACCUCUCAAAGUAAAAAUUGUUUGUUUAAUCUCCUCUAAAAUAGUUGAAUUAUAAAUUAAUAUAUGAUAAAAUUAUACUUUGAUCCUAAAAAAUGAAAAAAAAAUUCUUUCUAGUCUCUUAAAAAUAAUGAAAUUAUAAAUUAAUAAAUGAUAAAAUUAUAUUUUAGCUUCUAAAAAAUUUAUAAUUAAAUUUCGACCUCCUCUAAAAAAAUUUCUAGAUUCCUUUGAUAAGAUAGAGCAUGUCUUGCACACACCAUAAGGGCAAUCCCUACAAUUUGAACAAAUCAUUGCCAUGCACAAGUAGGAAUCCCUGCAACUUGCGGCUUGAGCAAAAAAUCUGAGCUGUAGGGUGAAGACUCAUAACCAAUAAACCAAAUGUUGGAGUUCAAUGAGAUAUUUAUAUAAUAUAAUUAUUAUGAUUUUUCAAUUUUUAUAUUAUAAAAUUUUUAUUAUUUAUUAAUAGUAUUAAACUCGAAUUCAACUCGAUUAAUAGCUCAAGCUCAAGCUCGACUCGAUAAUUAUUGAAUCAAGUUUGAAUUUUCUUCGAGUCGAACUCAAGUAGCUUGCAAAUCUUAGUGUCUUAUUUAUACUCCUAUUUCAAAUUCUCCAAUUCUCCCAAAAACACUUUUUUUUUGUGUGUGUGAAAAUGGCAGAACCAAGCUUUUAGGAAAAGUACAUUGCCGGCUACGGUAUCAAUAUGGUAAAAUAUUUCAAAAUUUAAUAUUAUUCUUGUCAUUUUUCUUAAUAGCAAGAUGAUCGAGUUGUUCAUGUUAGGCACAAUUUAAAAUUUUUGAAGACCUAUGAAAGUACAGUAAAAUGUUUGAAGAAUAUUGAUUUAUAUGUGACAUCUACAAUGACAAAAUUCAAUGGCAUUUCGAAAUUGCUUGCUACAUUCUUAGAGAGAUGGAAGCUAGAAAUGUAGGCAUUUAAUUUUUCAUGCGGGAAGCCACUAUUACACUCAAAUAAAUCGCUUUAAUAAUUAACCUUUCAAUCAAUGGGCACAAGGUAAUUAAACUUAGUACCAUCAAAUGCAAUAAGAGUGUUAUUGGUUGUUGGAUGCCGUGUCGUUUAAGAUGAGAUUGGAGAAAAUUAAACAAGGUUCACGUGAAGUACUUAUAAUUAGAGAAACUUAUUACACCAAUUCAAUUUGGAUUUAGUCUGACUUAAUUUAUCGACACUUAAAAUCAAAUUUGUGACCCAAAAUUUUCUUCAAUUUUCCUCCCUAAAAAUCUUAAAACAAAUAAAAAAUUUAAGUGUCAAAUUGGUAAAAUAAACCUUAAGUAUGGAAUUGAAAAAAAAAUUAUGACACAAAUAAAAGAGGGUCAAAUUGAAUUACACAAAUAAAAAAAGCUAUUACUGUAAAGAAAGAUUGAUAAAGUAUUUAUUUACUAAAAUAUGUUCAAAAGAAAGGUUGAUAUUAUCUACAUUCGGAUCAUGUAAAAAACAAAACAUAUAAAUAAAAAUCAAUACAUAAAAAGAUAUUGAUUUGAAUUUCAUAAAUUAUUAAUAUCAUUAUUAUUACAUAAAAACUUCAAUAUAUUUAAUUUUUUAAACAAGUAUAAUUAAAUAAAAAUUAAAAUACUCAAAUACAGAAAAGAGAAAUUAAUAUAUUGUUUUAAUGAGAUGGCGGCGUUGGUAAAGGCGGUAUGCUUUGUUCGUUCUUGAAGAAAUUCUCAGGGUCUAUCUUGGCUUUCACACUCGCCAGCCUCAUCAAAUUGUUCAUGAAAUACUUUGCUCCGUAUUCCUUCGCAACCUCAAAAUCCGUCUCGCCGCUUUCGUUGCUACCGAUGUCGAGGUCUCGGUAAUUGAAAAACGCUUCCCUCGGGUUGCUCGACGCAUACGGGGCCAUCGCAUUGUACAACCUCCUUGACAUCUCCACAUAACGCCCUGUGGCGUUGAUCCCUCCUUCGGACUCGGACCAUUGGAUCCUGUACAGUGCCUUGAAGAGGUUCCCACCGCGGUGCGCAAAGGCUGUCUCCGACUCCGAUAUCUCCUCCAUUCGCCCACCGUAAGGGUUAAAUUGCACGAAUAUGUCUUCAGUGUCCAUCAAAACUUGCCAUAAGGUUUCUAACCCUUGUUUGGGAAUCACUGCUUUGUAGUAAUCGGACUUGGUCUUGUAAAACACUCUGUCUACUUGAACUCUAUUGAGCAACACAUCAAUGGAGGUUCCAUUGGGGAAACCCGCCCAAUUUAAGGCCGAUUCGACCCAACUCAUCUCUAAACAAUCAUUUCUGGUCAAACCCAAUUCAGGGAAUCUUACGUUCAUUAAUCGUAAAAGUCCAUCAGCUUGUCCCAGAAAAUGGCUGAUGAAUGAAACCCUAACAGUUUUAUUGUUGCCGCCAUUGUUGAUAGGCACAAGCUGGAGUCUAAUGAAGAGAUCUUGGGGCAGUUUAGGGGCAACUUGCUGCCAACGAUAAGCCAGCUCCGUUGCGCCUUGUUCCAAGGUCCUUUGUACGUUGAAAACAGUGACCCUAGGUGGGACACGAACAAGCUUGAUCCGCCAUGAAAGGAUGAUACCGAAGCUAGUAGUUCCACCGCCUCUUAUAGCCCAAAACACGUCUUCCCCCAUUGAUUUACGGUCAAGGAUUCGACCAUUAGCGUCGAUCAAUUGUGCAUCAAUGACAUUAUCAAUGGAAAGCCCGUAUUUUCUCAUUAAAAAUCCAUACCCACCUCCACUGAAGUGUCCACCAAUGCCUACAGUGGUACAUACACCAGAUGGGAACCCAUGGACUUUGCUUUUCUUGGCUAUACUAUAAUAAAGUUCGCCGAUAGUAGCUCCGGCUUGAACCCAUGCCGUCUCGGUUUUCAUGUCGAUAUCUAUAGACUUAAGGUUGAACAUAUCGAGGAUAACAAACGGGACGUCGGAAAUAUACGAAAGUCCCUCGUAAUCAUGUCCGCCACUUCGAAUCCUUAGCUGAAAACCAUGACGCUUAGCGCAAAUGACCGCAGCUUGUGCAUGGGAUGGAUGUAGAGCGGUGAUAAUAGCCACCGGCCUUGAAGUCGCAGAUAAUAAGAUUCGAAGAUUGUUAGCACGUAAUUGAUAAGUAGAUUGGAAAGAUGCAUUGUUGGGAGUCAAUAUAGCGCCAGCAAUCGAGACAGAAUGGCCGGAAUGUUUAGGAAGGCAUUGAAGAAAAGCAUCGAAAUCGACCGGAUUGUAAGAUGCUGCCGAUGAAAUCGACAACAAAACGAAAAUCGAAACAAUUAAACAGGUGUAGCUUGAAGCUUUCAUUUUGGAAAUAAUGCGAAGAGAUAUGGUAAUGGUGCAUUGUUGUUAUGGUAUAUAUAAUGGUGAAGGUGUGGCAUUUGGAUCAAAUUGGAAAGCUUAUCUAAAUGUGUGAAAGGUUUAGAAAGCAUACGACUUAUAAGUUAAAAGACUUUUCAACAACGAAAUUCAUUGUUUUAUUCGAGGGUAAAUUAUUAAAAUAGUCACUUUUGUUUACCUUAAGUUACAUUUUAGUCACUUACGUUAUCGUGUUGUAACAUUUUAGUUACCGAACUGUUAAUUGUUGUUAACGGUGUAAUGGUAAGCUGAUGUACGUUAAAUUAUCAUUUUAAACGAAAAUUUUAGGUUAAAUUAUACUAUUGGUUUCUAUACUUUUUCGUUUUAAGUAAUUUAAUUUUUUUCUUUUAUGUUUUUUUAACUUUUCUUUUUUUUUUUUUAUUUUCCAUUCUCUCCUGCUUCUCCCCCUGUUUUCCUCCCCUCUUCAUUCCUUUUAAUGUAGUUUUUCUAUAUUUUCCAUUUAUUAAAACUAAUCCUUAUACUUUUAUUUUUUUUGAACAAUUUAAUUUUUUUUCUUUUUACUUAUUUAUUUUCCUUUUAGUUUUUCUUUAAAACCAGUCUCAUAUUUUUCACUGCAUAAACAUAAUCUUUGCCCACCAAAUAACCCAAGUUCUUUUUUCUUUCACAUGUUUCCUAAAUAAAUUUCAUACAAAACCGAAUAUUAAUCAUUCUUAAUCAAAUCUCGAUUUGAAUAUAACCUAAUUUUGAAACUAAAAUUGGAUCUGACUAAUCAAUAUAAAAAGUUAUAUCAUUAAUAAUAUCUAAACAUAAAUUUAAUUCUUUAUAUUCAAAACAAAAUUUUCUAUUUUCAAAUUUUUACAGAAUCGUGUAGAUUAUUCAUUUCCUUUUCUUUUAUUUUCUGACGAAUAAAAUUAAACAAACGAUAAAAUUGAUAUAAACCUUCUUGGAUAUUCCCAAACAAGCUUGAUUAGUGGCCGAGCAUGGAUGAAUCGAAGAGAGAAAGGAAGCAUGGACUCAAAUUGACUUGGGUUAAGUUGAGGGUAGUUUCGUAUGGUAUUUGUUUUAGUCAUUGAGAGUGUAGAGCUCUUUUGAAAAAUCCGUGAAACAACGUUGUUAUAGAGGAUGAGAAUGUUGUAGGUAAGAUAUAUAAGGUGAUUGUGGGGGUUGGUUAGGAGGUUGAGAGAACAAGCUUAGGAAACUUUUUUUAGGGUGGAUUGCCAUGACUGGCGAGGUCUUCAAGUGAGGUGAGCUUGUAGGCUAAGUUAUUGAGAGAUCUAAAUUGAUUCGUUAAAGCGGUGAUGGACGAUGACGGUUUGUAAUUGUGUGGUGAGAAUAUGCAAAACAAGUUUUAUUUUGAUUUCAGCUUUCACAUUUUCUUUUUUCAUAAAUAUAAAAAAGUUUUAAUAAAUAGAAAAUAUAGAAAAACUACGUUAAAAGAAAUGGAUAAGGUAGGAAAAUAGGGGGAGAAGCGGAAGAGAAUGGACAAUAAAAAAAAGUUAAAAGAACAUAAUCGAAAAACAAAUUUGCUCAAAAUGAAAAAAUAUAGGGACCAAUUGUUCAAUUUAACCUAAAAGUUUUGUUUGAAAUGAUGAUUUAACAUGCCAUGUGGGCUUACUGUUACACCGUUAACUGCAAUUAACAGCUCAGUGGCUAAAAUGUUAUAAUACAAAAAAGUAAGUGACUGAAACGUGACAUUUCAAAUAUCAAUAACUAAAAUGUAACCCGGACAAACAAAAAUAACUAUUUUAAUGGUUUAUCCUUAUUAAUAUUUAAUACAAUAUUUGUUUUCACCAAAAUAUGAAAUAUUCAAUCAUUCUUGAAAUAGGGGAAGCUAGAAAUAUUUAAAAGAUUUUUGUAGGCGCCGCCACGCUAUGCCCCUGUCUUGGAAUCAAUUAAAAAUUGCUAUUACCCAACCUAUGUUUGGUUCAACUUUUAAUUAGAUGGUUUAAUUGAAUUUUAAAAGGAAAUUAAGAUUAUAAACUAAAUUUUAUAAAAAUAGAAUAGAUGUAUAUACAAACAUGAUAAGAUAUUUAACUUUUUUUUUUUUGGGUACAUACCCCUUUUAUCAGGAGAGUACAAUUUAAAAGUUAGGGUGUAGUACCUGAGGACUGGUAGAGGCCUCAGCUUUUUUUAAAUGAUUUUUUUUAUUUAGGUCUUUUAUAAUUUUUAAAAUUUGAAUUUAAUAAAGAUAAAAUGAUAAAAAUUUGAUUUAGCCUUUUAAAAAUUAUAAAUAUAUAAGCAAUUAACAAUGUGAAGUUGCAUUUUUACUAUCGUAAAGUUUGCAAUUUAAUUUCGGUCCGUCCUAAAAAUAAUUUCUAGCUUUGCCCCUGAUUCUUGACCUCUCAAAAUAAAAAAAUUUGUCUGUUUAGUCUCCUCUAAAAUAGUUGAAUUAUAAAUUAAUAUAUGAUAAAAUUAUACUUUGAUCCCAAAAAAUAAAAUAAAAAAUUCUUUCUAGUCUCUUAAAAAUAAUGAAAUUGUAAAUUAAUAAGUGAUAAAAUUAUUUUUUGGCCUCUCAAAAAUUUAUAAUUAAAUUUUAGCCUCUAAAAGAAUUUCUAGACCCUUGCCUUUGAGAAGAAAGAGCAAAUCAUUAUCUCCCACACACGUAAGAAGGCGAUCCCUAUGACUUGAACCCACAAUGUGAACAAAUCAUUGCCAUGCACAAAUAGGAAUCUUGCGACUUGAACGGACAAUAUGAGAUGUAAGGUGAAGACUCAUAACCAAUAAACCAAAUGUUGGAGUUCAAUGAGAUAUUUAUAUAAUAUAAUUAUUAGGGUUUUUUAAAUUUUAUAUUAUAAAUUUUUUAUUAUUUAUUAAUAUUAUUAAGCUCGAAUUUAACUAAAUUAAUAGCUCGAGCUCGACUCAAUAAUUAUUGAAUCAAGUUUAAAUUUUCUUAAGUCGAACUCAAGUAGUUUGCGAAUCCUAAUGUCUCAUUUAUACUCUUAUUUCAAGUUCUCCAACUCUCCCAAAAACACUUUUUGUGUGUGUAUGAAAAUGACGGAACCCUUUCAGGAAGAGUACAUUGCCAUCUAUCCUAUGAUAAAGUUUGCCGGUAGUAGCUCCUGCUUGAAUUCACGCUGUCUCAGUCGACAUAUCGAUGUCUAUAGAGUUUUGGUUGAACAUAUCGAGCAUAAUAAACAAGACGCCAGAAGUUUACGAAAGUCCCUCGAAAUCAUGACCACCACUUCGAAUCCUUAGUUGAAAAUCAUGUUGCUUGGCGCAAAUGAUAGCGGCUUGUGCAUGAGAUGAAUGUAGAGCAGUUAUAAUGGCAACCGAUCUAGAAGUUGCUGAUAAUAAGGGUCGAAGAUUGCUAGCACAUAAUUGGUAUAUAUAUUGAAAAGAUGAAUUGUUAGGGAGUUAAUAUUGCAUCGCAUUUAUUGGACACGUUGCAGACACUUAGACGAGAAUCAAUGAGCAAUCGAAGAAGAGCCAAAACAUGCUCGACGUUGGGACAAGGAGCGUCAGCUUGUUAGGACAACGCGACGGACAACGUCAUGACGAGGCAAAUGAGACAUUGUGACAUCACGAUGUAUUCUCCUAUUUGGCAACCGCAUUUUAUAUUUCAAACAGAACUUCUUCUCUUAGUUAGAUUCUGAUUAUUUCAGGAAUAUUUUAGUAUGAUUAGAACUUUAAUCUUAGCCUAUUUAAAGGGGCUAUCGUAUCCUUAUUUUGACAAGCCAAUGAGCAAUGACUUUUCUUUGAGGGUUGCAUAUGAGUUUUGGUGAAGUUUCGUGGAUGGAGAUAAUUUUGUUCCCAAGUUAAGACUUUGUUUUCGGGGUUUAGGUUUUUAUGUUUAGUACAUUUAAGUUUAUUUUCUUCAUAUUGUACUCUCGUUUGUUUACUCAUUUAAUGAAAAAUCAAAGCAUCCUUUACUCGUGGUUUUUAUUUCUUUGAGGGCUUUCCACGUAAAAUAUUUGUGUUCAUUCUUCUUUGUGUUUUCUGUUUUGUUGUCUAUACGGGUCAAGUCCCAACAUUUUGCUUUUAAACAUUAUGCGACAAUGUUCUAUUUAUUUAAAAUUUUCAUUUUAAAUUUAGCUACAUAAGAUUUGAUGUGUCGAUAGUUAAAUUAAUGGUUUUAAUAACAAAAUGACCUGAUUUAUACAAUCUCGAUCUUUUAAGAUGCAAUUAGAAUGUUUUGAAGUUUGGGACCAAUUUAGAAUGAAAGUUUGGGGAUGUUUAGUACAAUUAACCCUACAUAAAAUUAAUUGAUUUCAAGAAAAUUCAAGAAUUAAUGUUAAAAAAAAAAGAAAAUUUAAAAUUUUAUAUAUUUUUUAUUCUUUAAAAAAAUAGAUUUUUAUAAAAUUAAAAUUUUAUAUUUGGGUCAAAUAAAAAAUUAAUAUAUAUGGAAGAAAGUCGAAUGAAGAUUUUAUUCAAUUUAAGAACAAUUUAAAAAAACAAAAAUGAAAUUUCUUUAUUGAAAAGUCUUAGAAACAAGUUAUAGAAAGGUGGCCCAAUCAUAAUCUUAUGAGUAACAAGUCACCCAAAAUUCAGAAAAUAUCCAGGUUCGCUUAAAAUCAUCACCACAAUAAGCUCUUGCAAACUCCUAAUAAAUAUAGAUUCACCAAAGCUAGAAAAGCACAUAAUAGAAACUAUAGAGAGAAAAAUAAUGAUCCCUAUGGAAACGGAUAGAAAAUGGAUCAUGAACUUAGUGUCAUUAAUUACCACAAAUACAACAAGCUUUGGGUCACCAAAUCUUUUUCAAUAAUUCCUAAUCUACUGUGGUCACUAAACUAACUAUAAAUACGAUUAAGGCAAGUGUACCUAUCGAACAAUAGUAUAGCUGUGGCGAGUAGAGAAUAUGGUAUCCAUAAGGACUAAAAGUGCUAGUAAUUACCGUUUUUCUAUUAUUUAGUCGACAAAUUGGAAUGAUUGUUUUUAAUCUAAAAUUACUAGACUAAUCUAACUAAGAAUGCAACAGAGAAUGAAAUAGGAAAAUAAUCAAAGAUAACCAAUGAGAUAGACAAUACCCAGGAAAGAAUCUACCUAAACUUCACCUAUUAUUAUGAAUCUGAAUUAAACGAUUUAUUCACUUACGUCUUGAUCCGUAGAAAUCCUUAAAUUAUAUUAAUAUCUCUUUCGAGAGUAAGAACAACUGACUCUAGGUUGAUUAAUUGAAAUCUCUUUCUAAUUAAAACUCCUAUUGUCGCAUUAACUCAAUCUAUGGAUUCCCCUAUUAGAUUUGACUCUAAUCUGGUAGAUUUAUGUCGUCCUAUUUUUAGGAUUGCAUGCAACUCCACUCAAUUAUGCUAAAUCUACUCUUAAACAUGAACUUUUGCUCCACUGAAAUAAGCACAUUAAACAUGAAUUAAUAUCGCAGAAAUAUUAAAAUAAAAAUUAAGCAUACAUAAUUGAGAACAAGAAUCAAGUAUUUAUCAUAUAAAUUAGAAAUCAAAUAAUAAGAUUCAUCAUAGGUUUCAUACUCCCUAGGUAUCUAGGGAAUUUAGUUUAUAAUCCUGAAUAGAAACAUCUCAAAGUGAAGAUAACCACAUGACAUAAAGAAACUUAAUAAAACUUUAAAAGAAAUUAAAUAGAGAUCUUUGAUCUUGAGGGAGAUUCGCUUCUGAGUUGAUUCCGAUGGCGUUCUUCGGGUGUUUUCUUCAAUCUUCUCUGAUUGCUCCCUUAUGUCUUCUUCUAAUGGGUAUUUAUAGACUUUAGAAUGCUCAUAAAAAUUGGGUUUUUUUGCGUAUUUGGGAAGUAGGAUGCGAAAUCGACACGGGCUGGCACAUGAACGUGUGACCAGCCUAUGUGGCUCACACGGGCGUGUGCCUAGCCCGUGUGGCUCCUAAAAAUAGCUCUUUUUGUCCGAUUUUAGCUCAUUUUUUCGCUCCUUUUACUCCCAAAUGCUCUCCUAAGUAUAGAAACAUGAAUUUAAAGGAUUAGGAGCAUCAAAUUUACUAAUUUUUAUAAUUAAUCAUUCAAAAACGUAUUAAAAAUGGAAUUAAACUAUGUUACUUUUAUAGCUUAUCAUCUACUUUUUCAUAACUUAAAAACUCACCAUCAUUACAACUUACAUAGCAUCCAUUGUCGCAAUCAACAAACCCCGAAAUCCAAAUCAAAUGACCUUGAAUAUUUGAUAACCAUCCAUAGUUUCAGUCAUUUUACGAAUGCUUUCUGUAGUUCCAACUUAUACCGAGAGUCGUAUUAUCAAUAGAUCAAUAUUACCUAAUAAUCACAACCAUCAUCCAAACAAGCCAACAUCUCACAACAUUAUAGAUCCCUAAAAGUUCCAAAAUAGCAUACACAUGAUGGUGUCAUGGAUCACAAAUCAAAACUAGAGAUGAAUGCACACAAAAUGUCGCAUGGAUGUGAACUGAUUAAAUGAAGUUCAUUUGACUCACCUAAACUGACCUGAUUUGUGGAAUAUGUAAUUUUUCAAAGUAUUAGAAACACUUUGAGAGCAUGUAUCCAAACACUUGGUGCGUUUAGUUUUCUUGUAGCUUAUUUUAAGAGUUAGACUAACUUAAACAAAUUAAUAAUAAAUUGACGUACGUACGUUCAUUUCCUUAGCAGCUAAAUGUUGUAUUUAAUUGGUUUUUAGACACUUUAAAAGCAUGUACCCAAACACUAAAAUUACUUUCAUUUUUGGACAUGUUUUUGGUACAAAGUUAAUUGCAUUUAAUUGUUUCUAAAGUAUUUAUUUACUAAAAAAAUGUUCAAAAAAAAGUUUGAUAUUAUCUACAUUACGUGACAUUCGGGUCAUGUAAAGAAAAAAAAUAUAGAAAAAGUCAAAAUCAAGAUCCAGAGAAUUUUAAUUUUUUUAACUUAAUCACUCAUCUAUUUUAAAAUUUAUUAUUUUAUCGUAUAAAUAGUGAAAUUAGGUUACACAAAUAAAACUACAUAUAUUAUUAUUUAAAAAAAUCUCAAAAUUAAUUUUGGUGUAAUAUGAAAUGACGUACAUAAACUUUUAUAAAUGAAAUUUUGAUUUAAUUCAAAUUUCACAAACUAUUAAUAUCUUUAUUAAUACAUAAUAAUUUUUCGUUUUUAUAUUACUUAUAUAUUCAAUUUAAAAUUAAAUUAAUGUAUUUAUUUUUUAAAAUAUAUAUAAUCAAAUCAAAAUUAAAAUUUUAUGUAUAUAUUUAAUCAAAAAAAAGUAUAUAUAAAUUAUAUCACCUUAUUAAAGUUCAUAAAUAGUUUUAAGAAUAAUCACUAUUGUACAUCAAAGAAACAAACGAGAUUAAGAAAUAAAAACAUACACACUGAACUUACGUAAAAAGAUAAUUGAGAAGAUAUUUCAUAUAUUGUUUUAAUGAGAUGGCGGCGUUGGCAAAGGGGGUAUGCUUUGUUCGUUCUUGAAGAAAUUCUCAGGGUCUAUCUUGGCUUUCACACCCACCAGCCUCAUGAAAUUGUUCCUGAAAUACUUUGCCCCGUAUUCCUUCGCAACCUCAAAAUCCGUCUCGCCGCUUUCGUUGCUACCGAUGUCGAGGUCUCGGUAAUUGAAAAACGCUUCCCUCGGGUUGCUCGACGCAUACGGCGCCAUCACAUUGUACAACCUCCUUGACAUCUCCACAUAACGCCCUGUGGCGUUGAUCCCUCCGUCGGACUCGGACCAUUGGAUCCCGUACUGUGCCUUGAAGAGGUUCCCUCUGCGGUGCGCAAAGGCUGUCUCCGACUCCGAUAUCUCCUCCAUUCGCCCACCGUAAGGAUUAAAUUGCACGAAUAUGUCUUCAAUGUCCAUCAACACUUGCCAUAAGGUCUCUAACCCUUGUUUGGGAAUCACUGCUUUGUAGUAAUCGGACUUGGUCUUGUAAAACACUCGGUCUACUUGAACUCUAUUAAGCAACACAUCAAUGGAGGUUCCAUUGGGGAAACCCGCCCAAUUUAAGGCCGAUUCGACCCAACUCAUCUCCGAACAAUCAUUUCUGGUCAAACCCAAUUCAGGGAAUCUUACGUUCAUUAAUCGUAAAAGCCCAUCAGCUUGUCCCAGAAAAUGGCCGAUGAAUGAAACCGUAACAGUUUUAUUGUUGCCGCCAUUGUUGAUAGGCACAAGCUGGAGUCUAAUGAAGAGAUCUUUGGGCAGUUUAGGGGCAACUUGUUGCCAACGAUAAGCCAGCUCCGUUGCGCCUUGUUCCAAGGUCCUUUGCACGGUGAAAAUAGUGACCCUAGGUGGGACACGAACCAGCUUGAUCCGCCAUGAAAGGAUGAUACCGAAGCUAGUAGUUCCACCGCCUCUUAUAGCCCAAAACACGUCUUCCCCCAUUGAUUUACGGUCAAGGAUUCGACCA